RNAcentral lists this long non-coding RNA (314 nucleotides) under Mytilus galloprovincialis (Mediterranean mussel). The record is from RNAcentral. Lineage: Eukaryota; Metazoa; Mollusca; Bivalvia; Mytilida; Mytilidae.
GUUCUUGAUUUUUCUUGACACGUGUCUUGACAGUAUUCACAUUGUCUUAAAAUUUCUUGACACCUCCUGUAUCAUCUGAUAAGAGUCAUGCUGAGUCUCGGCCAAUUCUUGACUGUCUUAAAUUUGUCUCGAUCUUUCUUGACAUAUUCUUGACAUUCUUAAUAAUGUCUGUAUAUGUCUUGACAUAUUCUUGACAUUCUAAAUAAUGUCUGAAUAUGUCUCUACACAUUCUUGACUAUCUUAAAUAUGUCUUGACACUAUCUCAAUAGUAAAAAUUUCGCCUGAAAUGUGUACAGACUUAUUUUGCACUGUUU